Molecule: long non-coding RNA, 12601 nt
Filed under: Heterocephalus glaber (naked mole-rat)
Lineage: Eukaryota; Metazoa; Chordata; Mammalia; Rodentia; Bathyergidae
Description: lncRNA (ENSHGLG00100043713.1)
Source: RNAcentral
AGUGUGGUGUAGCACCAACAUCUGGAAGCCUUUCAAAGUUUCUCACCUUAUAGUUAGUUACUGUGGUGUCAUCUACACCCAGCUAACUGAUUGUACAAAAAUUCUUAAGAGGCCAUGUUUUGAGAGAUUCUCUUGGAUGUUUCUGAGCCCUUACAAUGGAUCAUGUUGAAGUGCUAGCCGUGCAUGUGGACAAACUUCACAAGCAUGCAAUGACCAGACACCAAGCUCUGACCAGAGGCAAGCUCCCAACUGUGCCUUUCUUUCCUUCUCUCCACCUCCAAAUAUUCCUCCUGCAAAUGUGUCAAAACUCAGUAUAAUAACAGUAGAAUAAGGGAUGAUAAUUUUUUCUAUUUUUCAGGGAGGAUGGUUUGCAAGGAUCUUAUAGAGCUGAGACAUCUAUAGUUACGAGCUCUAUAUGAAAUUGGACUCAAACCGCACAUAUUAUAAUACGCACUGAUGACCCUCGGGCACCUGAGCAUCUUGGGACUUAUUAUUUAUUACCGAUUCAUAUUUCUCAUGUUCAACAGAACUUUUCAUGACCAAUUGAAAUACCUAAAGGAGAGAAGGAGAGACAGAGACAGAAACAGAGAGAAUUAAGGGCUGGAUAGAGCACUUGCUGAGUGUACAUGAGACUCUAGGUUUGAUCCCUGAUACCCUCUUUCCCCAAAAAUUACAGGACAAAUUUCAGUGAAGAAGAAAAUAGGAUAAAGAGAUAAUUUAUACAUUUCCCCCUAAAGGACCAUAGUUUUAAUGCUCUAAAGCAGUGAUGGCAAACCUUUUAGACCUUUCAGUGAUAACAAACAGCAGGCUGUGGCACUUUUCAUAGGUUCGCCACCACUAUUGUAAAGCAUCGUUGAAACCAGAAACACAUCCUGCAUUGAGCUUCUCCUGAGGAAGUUCAAGCACUGACUGGCCUCUUGCAUUAUUUCUCUCUUCCUGAGUGCCCCUUACUGUGUCUUUGGGUGGAGGGGGAUUAGAUUGCUCUCCUUUGGUGCUGUUUGUCUCCUCUGGCAGAGCUCUGAAAUGGCUUGUCCAUGGAGGGUGCCAGGUCAGAUCCUUUUUUUCUCCUGAGCCCACCACAGGAAACUUCCUCCCUCCUGAGCAGACCCAGGCAGCCCACCCGUGGCCUGUCGGUCACACCCUGGGUCUCCAUCUCGGCAUCCUUUUGCGGGAACUCUCGGAGCUGGUCACUGGUAGAGGUGUCCAGGGACAGCAUGAUCUGGGCCAGGCUUAGCAUGACCCCCUCCAGCCAGCAAUAUACCACUUAUUCACAUGAGUACCACAGCGACUCCAGUGUCAUCAGGGCCAUGGGAGAAGAUACGCAAUGAAGUGUGCUUAGAGCUCCUCAGAGAAGACUGCUUCCUAGGUCAAUUGCGUGGUUACUUUCCUGGGGACUCAGGGCUGGCCUGCAGUGCAGCAGUACCCUGACACCCCAGGAAACAGAGUCCUUGAGGAGUCAGAGCCAAAUGUCAGGCACACUUUUGCCUUGAAUCUUAUUCUGAUUUUUCCAGCCCAUUGCCGAGUUGCUGGUGUUCUCCGCUGUACUCGUGGGCUGUUUUGAUUUGGAAAUGCCAUUUGCUUACAGUGCGAUUUUGGGGUUGGAUAUUAGGAUUGCUGUUCACAAGCUGGUGAUGGAACCCCACAUCAGGGCGGGCAUUUGUGUGCGGAGCAGAGAACUCCACUCGGAUUUCUACUCGGGGCUCUGCCCAGAGAAUAUUUUAUGUCUCAUGCACUUUUAUGAGUAUUUCAUUAAUUAUUUAUGUGAAUUCCAGAGCUAAGUUUUGCUAAGUAAAUAUGAAACAGCUCGUCUACAAGGAAAAAAAAAAACCUACAAAUUUUGUACCACCUUGCCCCUCUCAUGAAAACUCUGAGACUGAGCUGUAGACUCUUCCCUAGGUGCUUUUGAGAAAAUAGGAAAUUGACAUUAUAAAAAUGACCCAGGACAGUUUCAGGAUUUUUAUGUUUGAAGCUAGAAAAUGCUACCAUUUUAAAUGUAGGAAACUUUCCUUUUUUAAGUAGUUGUUCUAAGAAUACUACACAAGGUCUGAAAUUUCCUAUUUUCAUCAUAUUAUCAGCCAGCAAGAGUUUGAUGAUUGAAAGAAUUAUUAAAGGAGAUCAGGAAAUGUUCUUUUUAAAGGUAUAAUGCUCUAUAAGCAAAGGCCUGGGCUAUUAUUCCCCCAACUUUGGGGAUUUACGGGUUGGUGGGCGCAAUAGUGAAUGUUCAUAUUGGAGGUCCAGAUCUUAAGAAAAGUCAUUUUGCCAAUAAUCUACUAUGAGGAAGCAGUGAAAAUUAAUUAACAUUGAGGAAAGCACGUUAUGAGUCUAUAUGCUUAAAUGGCUGGCCCAUUUGGACUGAAAUGAGUGAUACACUCAGCUAUAAAUUCCAGUUAAGUUGGUGAACCAGUUAACUCCGUAAACGAGUUAUAUAGGGCUAAAUUUUAAAAAAUGAAUUGGAUGGCUCAAUAGAUAGAUCAAAAUCAAAGGAUGUUAUAAAAAAAUAUGGACAGAGCCCGUGAUGCCAUUUCAAAGCCAUGAAAUAGAUUGAAAACAUCUUUUGUAAUGAUUUGAGAGAACGCAUAACUUUUGGGAUAUAUAAAAUAGAAAAGUAAAUGGAGAGGCAGACUUCGAUAAAAACCUAGAGGUUUACAACAAAAAUAUAUUUUUUAAGAAAUCUCUGUGUGUUUCGAAUAAUAAAAGCUUUCCUUUCUCUUGUUUUGGUUUUGCCUUUCUAAAUAGCUCAUGUAUUUGUCAGCAUCUUUAACCUGAGUCUGGUGACCUCGCCCUGGUGAUAGCUAUUCCAAUAUAUUUUCUAAGCAGUCAGUGGUUACUUUGUGCAGAAAUAAUUUUGGCUAUUUCAUACCUUUCAGUUUAAUUUUUUGCCUUUUGAUCCUUGAAUUUUUUUCUCUGCCUAAUUUUUCGCCUUUGAAUGUUUGUAAAUCUCCUACUCCUCUGCUUUUUCUUCUUUGAUUCCCUUCUUUGCAGGGAUCUUGCUGGGAUGUUUUUGCUCCACUACCCGAAUUCCCUCUCUUAAGCAUCUAUGGAUUACCCUUUACCCAGGGUACCCACAUCCACCUUCAAUCUCUCUAUGGAUAUAGAACAUUCUGUUCCUCCACAGCAAUUUCUUUUGGGAAGUGCAAGCUAUUGAAAAAUCCAAACCAAUACAUUUUGAUGGGUAAUUAAUUUUUCAUACAAUUUUCAUUAACUUUCCAAUUGGAUAUGCUCCUGGAUCUCUUUUUCAUAGUUUCUCAGUCUUUCCCUCUCUUCCAGUGAGUACAAGUUGUCAUUUCUGUCUCAUUUCCUCCUCACUAAGGUGGACUUUGGUCACAUUGGAAAACUCUGGGUUAAAAUUUCUGCAUGGCUGACUGAGCCUGGACAGUUCAUCCCCUCUUCUUGGAGGCUCCAGACAUCCAUCCCUCUUUCCUGAGACAGACUUGGCAGGUAGCAGGAGGAGGGCUUAGGUGGGAGUUGGCACUGUGGGCAUGCCGUGUCUGAGGACAGAUAGACAGGGCUCUGGUCAGUGCUGUCCACUUACCAACAUCUGUGCCACUUCAUGGAAAACAGGCAUCUCCAGCCGGCCAGCUCUGAACUCCCAUGAUGGGAAGACCCAUGCCCGUUUUUCAUUGUGGAGCCAUGGGAAGGGCUUUUAUUGUUGGAAAUCAAACUCAGCUGAAAGAGACCUUGCAAUGACUGUGGAGUCAGUGUAGAUGGAAGUGGCUUUCAGCUGCUUGCAGGCUAUAGUGUAAUUUUUGGCUGGAGAAAAAUUAGGUGUCUCAGAAUUGGUGAUUUGGUACUAGAAAGCUUUCAGGGUUUGGUUUAUUCUGGGAGAGGGAUAGUUUCCUUCUUUUUGAUGUGACCAUAGGUGACCUGAGAAACCCCUGGUUUCUGCCAUAUGUUCCUGUUAGGAGAGAGCAGGGUGUGCUGUGGUAAAAGAUAAACACCGAAACCAGUGGCUUCAGACGAUGAGUUUAUUUCUCUCUGUCAUUGCAUAUCCUUGUGGGUCAGAAAGGGGGGUGGCUGUUGUGGACACUUGGGGCCCUUUUUGUAUUAGCCUGCAUUUCCACUGUGGCAAGGGGAAGAGAAUGUGGUGAAUUUGGCCCUGGCUGGUCAAGCUUCUGCCCAGAAGGGCCACCUCUUGCUUCUGCUCCCUUUUCCUGGGUCAAGGGAAGUGAACUAAACAGUUGGGGACAUUCAGUCCUGCACUGAACAUAGAAGAAAGAGAAGAGAAACAUUCAGGAACCUGCUGUGUGACUAUUCUGCUGUCCAUUAAACAUAAGUACCAGGGAAGAGAGCUCCCUUUGAUCAGGUGAUUAGUGGUGCCAGUGUGGGUUUCUGUGUCCCGUUUUUGAGUGGUGACAGUGUUGCCACAGCUCACAGUAAUCCCUGUGAACCGAAUUUUCUGCAUCAUCCUUGGAAUCUUCUGAUGCAGUAGCUUCAAGGACUAUUGAUUCUUUGAAACACUUCUCAUGACAAUGGCUAUGAUGAAAAUAAAGGUGAAGAAUAAAAACUCACUCGUGGAGAGAAAUAAAUUGCUUAAGGAUUGCUUUAAUCUUGCCUUUUCUUCUCAUUCUUUUAAAAGUGUCUUUCAAAUUUUACUCAAAGAACAUCAUUGUGAUCACAUUAUUCAGCAUUUGAUGGAUAAGGAUGAAGACUCAGAAAAGAUGAGUACAGUAGAUGUCUCAACUUUGCAAUAGAAUGUAAAGCCUUCAGCUCAUCUUUUGGGAUUUGAAUAUAAUCACUACCUCACCACCCCCAUCACUACUUGUACUCCAUUACACCAUCACGUCCGCCAUCAAUGCCUCUACCCACCACCACUACUACCCCCACCGCCAUCAUUAUAACCACCAUCUCCAGCACCACUGCUAUCACCACUCUCCUACCACCUGUCACCCAGGUCGCAUAUCAUGUUUCUCUUCUAACCACCAUGGGCCCCUACAAUUAUGCCAGAUUUCUAGCAGUUAAGUUUGGCUUUCUCUACAUUUGUGUAAUCCAGGAAUAAAAACGUUCUAUGGGAGAAAACUGACAACUCAGAUCUGUCUCGGGGACUGGGAUUGGAUUAAACUUGUCUCUUCUUUUUCCCUCUUUAAAAAAUUUCCUUUCAAUAUUCUUCUUGUGGCAUCUUCUUCUUUAGACAUGGACGAGAACCUGAAGUUCAGAAAUGAUACCCAUCAUCAGCAGGCCUCUUUUUCUUCUUUUUCUCUUUUAAUGUUUGAGAUGGAUCUCACUAUGUUUCCCAGGCUGGCAUUGAACUAGGCUGAUGGGAUCUUCCUGUCUCAGCCUUCUUGGUGACUGGGACUAUAGAAGCACAUCACUGUGCCCAGUUUAUCGCAAGCUUCUAACACCUUUCCUAUAUGGACCACUCAGAUGUAACCCUUUUAUAUAAGAGCAUGGCUAGUAUUUCCAGAAGCCAGGCAUCUUUCUGGCAAACUGGUCAGUAGCCAUAAGGAAGAUAGAAGGUCCAGUCCAAAGUCAGUGAUCACAGAAUCAGAACGACUGGGUGAAUUACCUCCAUGUGUUCCCCUGCCUGCUCCUGGACAGUGCUCUGAUGGCCUGUGGGGCUGCAGAGUCCCACUCCCUUGAGGUCCCACUCCCUUGAGGAUGCUGGCAGGUGUGUUGGAACCCACCUCAGCCUCUGCAGUUGAAAUGAGCGUUUGCUGGGCCCACAGCAUCUGUGUCUGAACUCUCUUGCUGGCGUGGAGGAACUGUGCACAGAGGAUAAAUUCUGGCCCAAGGCGAAAGCCCUAGAGCUUUGCCCUGCCCCCUUCAAAUAUUAAUAAAAUAAGGAUGUUAUUAAAUUACCAAUCCUGACUCCAAUUGAGUGUUUGCCAAGAACCCCAUGCUUCCACCUCACAUAAUACAUUUUAUUUUUCUUUUGGGGAUUUGUUUUCUGAAUCAGUUUACUUCUUCGUGGUCCAAUAAUCACUAAAUGGAAUUCUCUCCAUCUUUCAUCCUUCAUCAUUAGGGUAAAAAAAAUACAGUAUCACUUUCUGGAAGGAAAUAAAUAUCUUGAAAUGAAAGACAAUAUUUAGCGACCAAAAGAAGAGAAAUCCCUCAAGAGUACUACUUUUCUGAUGACUCAGAACUGGAAGUGAUUAAGGGCUCAGUGCAUUACAACAACGGGCACCCCCAUCCAUCCGUCCCUCCAUUUCAGAAGAAAAUCAAACAUCGUUUUGGAGGGCCAUAUCAGUUUCAAAGAUUGCCAUCAGGGUGGGAGCAAAUGAAGUUGAAAUGGCCUGAUCGUUCACUGCGGCCUCAGAGCGGAAACUUUUCCUCUGAGUUGAAAGCUGGUGGAAUAUUCAUGGAAAUGUAAUCCGAGCACGGGGUACCAAGUCAGUGUCAAAACUGUGUUCCAAAUCAUAUUUGCUGUUUGUAAAGCGGCUCCUUGGGGAGCAGCUAAAGGAAGGGAGAGGGUGGAGGACUUGGGCUUCCUGGAGCCUUGACCCAGGUCUGAGGGUUGGGCUUCCUUCUUCCUUCUGGGGACUUUUCUUAGGGUUUAGGGUGGUGGGGUUCAGUCCUUCUGGCUCUGCAAGGACCAUUACUGGCUCAGAUGCGGAAGCUAGUUCUUGCUCUUUGUUUAUUUUUUUUGAGACAGGGUCUUGUUAUGUAAUUCAGGCUGCACUGAACUCACUCUGCAGCCCAUGCUGGCCUUGAACUUGUGGUGAUCCUCCACCCUCAGUCUCCUGAAUGCUGGGAAUCACAGGCAUGUGCCACCACACCUGGCCCCUGGCUCUUGCCCCUGUGCUGUGGCUGAAAAACAGAAACCACAGAGAAAUCCACGUGAAAGUCACUGUGCAGAGUUCUGCAUGUGCACAAGUGAUGCCCUUCACUUUUUCCUUCAAGGCCUUCUGAUCAGGGUUUUGAUUGAAGAAAAAAGAAUGUGGAGGUGCAGAUUCUGAUGGGCAUCAUAUGAAGAUGCUGGAAUUAUACCUUAAAAUGAAAAAGGGGUUCAAAACACAGAUGACCUAAAUUUCCUUCCCAGAAUGAACAAAUCUCUCUCCUUUUCCCUCAGGAAUGCUCCUCAUCUGUAGUUAAUCUUAGAAUUAACAUUUAGUAAAUUACUGCCGCAGUGCCUUCCACGAGGAAGGUGCCUGGUGGCUCCGUUGAUUAGAACCUCUGCGCUAAUGAAGCCUCCCAGCUGUGGUCCCUGCUCUGAACCUCGGCCAGGUCUCCAAGUGGACACUGGUCACAAGUGGCCUUCUGUAGAAGCAUCAGCCAAGGUUUUCAUGGUUAGGGGCAAAGCCACUCCAAGCAGAUGCCGUGAAUUAAUUUGGAAUAUGACAGCAGUCGCCAGGGGUAACCAGAGGGGACCCUCGAGGCCAGUGCCAAGCCCCAUGCUUCUCAGGGCAGCCUCCUGGGGUUGCUGGUGGGAUCUGGGGAAGCUCCAGUCCUGCCCAGGGGAGGGAGAACUUGUCCAAGUCACAGACCCUAGGGUGGCUGCAGUAGGUUUUGUGGAGCUGUUGUUGCUAGCCCUCAUCUAAUAGCUGGCUCUCUGGGGCCUUGGGAUUCUAUCUCCAGCUCCUGCAGCCACAGCAGGCCCUGUCCACCUGGGCCCUAGCCCUGACUUGGAAGGGGUGUUGUUCCCAGGCCUAGGCCUGGGCACUCGCUGGUGUCCACUGGGGCUGGUUCUUGGGCAUCUGGUGGACUCAUGCUCCAUAGGCUCCCUGCUGAAACCAGUACCCUUGACAGGCUUUGAGCAACAUCACCAUCUCCUGCCACAGGACAGGGCUGUCUUCUUGUGCUUAGAGAUGGAUAGGCUCUGGCUAUGUUCCCGAGGCUGGCUUUGAUGUCCCAGGCUCUAGUGGUUCUCCUGCCUCAGCCUCCCAGGUGGCUGGGGCUAUUGGUGUGAGCUAUGGGGGAUAAGUGGGCUGAGGAGUGGUACUUGGUGUGGGCUUGAGCACCCUAUGCGGGAGGAUGCACAGGGGGACCUCUGUGGUCAGAGGGAGAAGCACCCUGGGCUGAGACCUUGGGACUUGAGGGGGGUCACUGGAGAUAGAUAAGGUCAGGACAGCACAGGGCUGGCUGCUCAAUUAGAAAGAGAAGGCUUCAGAGACAGAGGGGGAAGCCAGAGGCUGGGUCGGGGAUGGGCUUCCUCUUGGAUGCCUGAGAUCACUGAGUGAGAGGAGAAAAAGAACAGUGCUGUUUUGCUGAAGACCAUCUGAGGGCCAGGGGGUGGCUGGGCAGGUGCUUGACCUGGUCCCCUCCCCAGUCUGCUCAAGUGGCAGGUGUGUUCAAGAGUCCGGUGACCAGGAGGCUGGGGGGAUUUAAAACAAAUUAAGAUGGGUUGUGUACACUGAGCCAGAUGUGGUGGGACAUGCCUGUGAUCCCAGCAAUCAGGAGGCUGAGGCAGGAGGAUUGCUGUGAGUUCAAGGCCACUCUGGCCUUCAUAGUGAAUUCAAGGUCAGCCUGAACUUCAUAGCAAGACCUUGUUUCAAAAAGAAAAAAAUGUUAUGUACAUGUAUUUACUCUUCACAAUGAGUGUGACCAUUAUGUACUGCAACAUGUACUCAUGAAAAUAAAAUUAAAAAGCAUGCAAAUCCUUUUAAAAGCAAGAGCAAAAAGGCGGGCUGGCAUGUUGUUCAGUGGUGUGGCACGUGCUUAGCAUGCACAAGGCUCUGGGUUCCGGGCCCAUUACAAAAGAGCCAAACAGCAUCUCCCUGCCAAAGCCCUAAUAAAAGAAAUCCAGAAAGGGAACCUGAGGUAACUGGGGACAGGUGUGGCCUCGUGGCCAGAGCACAGCUGUGCUUUGCAGUAAGAGCCACACCUGCACCAUGUGCACAGGACAGGGAGAAAAAGAACACUCACCAAGGUGGCUCUGUUUGUAUCCAGGAUGCUAGGGCAUGGGGCGCGGAUGGAGGCUCAAACCAGCCACCCUGUGUGUGUAGAGAAAGUGGUAAUCAUCUUUGGUUUCAUUCACCUUUAAAGCAUUGUUUUCUUGUUGCACCAAGUAAUGCUUUUUCUAAUUGGGAAAAGUUCCCAGGGUGGGGACUUUGCUGGACAAGCGAGCUGUUGCCCAGCUGUAGGUGUGGUGGCACCGGACAUACCUCUCCUAACUCAGUCCAUCCGCCACUGCAGUGAGGGAAGUGACCAUUUGACUGGAAUUUGCUGCUGUUUUGCACCAGGUGAGCUGUGUUUUAGGGCGAGACUCUUCUUGUUGUUUUAAUGAGAGGCUGUAGUAGCAAGGACUCCAGGAGCUUGCCUCCUGGGAUGCCCAAGCCCUUGAUCCCUGCUAGAGGACUGCAGUCCUCCUGAAGGUGAAUGCUAUCCUCACAUGGGGCCCACUGGGCUAUGUGUGGAGGUGAGCAUGGAGAGCCUCUCAGGGAUGAGGAAGGAAGAGCCUGUUGCAAUGGGCAUGCAGAAGUGCAAGUGCCUGGCCUCUGCGGUCUUGGUCCUGGAUUCGAUUCCAUCAGAAGUGCCAAAGCUGAGCCCAAGACAGAUGGCCAUAGCAGCCAUGCUGGGAAUUGCUGGGUGCCUCCCUGUGACCUCUGAGGGCAUGGCUGUAAAAAUCUCCAAAACAGGGAGGAGCUUGGGGCUGGUCGUGAUCAUGAAGUGACACUUCUGGGCAUCUGGUCCCCAUGAUGCACUCACGGCAGAGAGAAGACACAGCCUCCCUAACCCGGCUGGGUGACCACAGCAGAUCUAUAUCAUCAGGGGCUCUGAAGGCCGAGAUCGGUCCUGCCUCAGGACUGAGACCUCUGUAGUCCUAGACCUGAGGUGUGAUCACCAGGUUUUCCCUUUAUCUCCCAAUGGUCAUGAAGUGGGUCCUGUCCUUGGGGACACACUUGUGACAUGCACACUCGCAGAGGUAGACCUCAGCCACUUAGGAGUCUAUCUUUCCUGGUAGGAUCCUGUGGUAACCUUUUAGGGCAAACCAAUUCAUUUGCAGAGUACGGUGUCUGCUGGGUGAGCCUGAGCUGGGGCGCAGCCUGGAUGUCCCAGUCCUUUAGAGGAAUGGCAGCUGCCACAAGAUGUGACCUUGGCAUUUGAGAUCACCAGGGAGUUGGUGUGAGCUCCAGAGACAACACCAGCGUUGGGCACGGUAGAUCCAGGUGCCAGACCUUGCUUUUCCUGCUCUGCAACUUCAAUGGCUCAAAUGCCCAUCGCAGGGUCUUCAAAGUGGUGUAAUGCCAUCUACCCCUCAUAUAUUGGGACAGCAGAGGAAGAGGGAUAAAGUGCCUGGAUAUGUGCAUUCAUCGAGUGUCCUGAAGAUGCUCCUUCUGACUGGAAGAGCUGAAGAGACAAGACUUUUCACUAAGUGAUAUUUUUGAUGCAGUCUAAGGAUUUAUCUCAAAAUCCCAGUCACAUUACUUCCUGAGAACAAAAGGUCUGCUGAAGUUGCCUGAUGAAAAGUCCAGCCUUCCAGAAUCUUCCAUUCUACAAGUGCUACCUACAGUGACUCUGAGAGAUUGAUUAUUUAUUACGGAGAUGGGAAGAAAAGGAAACGACCAGCCCGUCACACGUCCCUGGCCCAGAUCUGCCAGUCUCUCUCUUCCCGGUCUCAGGAAACUGUGCUGACAGUCCUCGAGGUGCGGUGGGGAGCCCCUGGCAACCACUCACCUGCUUUCUGUCUGUGUGGAUUGACCUGUUCUGGAUAUUUCCUGCAAAAGGAAUGCUGAAUUUUAGUACCGGGCUUCUUUUCCUUCCUGUAAUGUUUUUGGAAUCCAUCCACAUUGUUGAGUGUAUCAGUGUAUCAGUACUUCACUUAUUGUACAGCUGAGUAAUUCCAUGGCACUUGUCCCUGGUUUUGUAAGUAAGGUUUUCCUGGACAAAGCUGUCCCCAUUACUUUACAUACUGUCUACCACUGCUUUUGCAUUUAAUGGCAGACCUGGGUAGUUGUCAAAGAGAACAUGCAGCCUGCAAAGACUUAAGUCUGUACUGUCUAGCCCUUUACUGAGAAGAAUUGCAGAUCUUUGCUAUAGUAAUAAUUUUGGGGAACUUUGUCAUGAUGCUGUGCAUGGAAAUUCUAAAGUUUCAAUAGGAUUUAUUUAUUUUUUAUCAUGAUAUAAUUUUAAGGUUCAGCUGAAGGAAGAAAGGUUACACAACUUUUGGAAAGGGAGAGUUGUUAGAGGUACCUGCCCUCCAGGAUUGUGCAGUACAGCCUGGACUGUCCUGGCUCAAGGAGGUGGAACUCAUGCAGGAGUAGACAGACCAUAGACAGGACUGGGAAGAUAGGGAAGGGACCCAUAACAGAUGUGGAAGAAAUCUGGCCAGACUGGAAGGACGCUGGACAAUUGGGAGUGACACCAGCCAUGUGGAAGAUGGGUUGCUGGAUCUGCCUCUACUCUGAAGUGAAUUCCAGAGGAAUAAAAUACUUCAGUGUGUAACAAAGGAGUUGCACAUACCAGGAGAAAAUAUUGACAUCCAUCUUACUAAUCUUGUAGGAGAAAAAUUCUUUUAAGCUUCACAGAAAAAGGCAAUGCAAAGCAAAAAAUUGAUCAAUGUGGCUUUUCAAUAAAGUGGCCUAAAAUGUAAAACUUGUCCAUGGCAAAAGCACUGUAAGUAAAACUUAUAGGAUGGAACCAGAUUAACCUGGGAAAAGUAUUGUUUUGUUAUAGAUAAAGAGUUACUGAGUCCAAUAAUAUAAUUUAUUUGUCUCUUGCAAAUGAAUGAGAAUCUGAAGAGUGCACAAUAAAUAAGGGAGAAACAUGGUACAAACCGGGACAAAGGCAACUCACCAGCAAGUGCACUAUGGUGGGUGUUCAACCUUGUAAAUAAUUGGUCUAAAUUUUAUUGAUGUAAAUUUACACAUGUCUUUUUUUGUUGUUUGUUUGAGUGACAAGGUGAAAAAAAUUGAGAAACCCCAGUGACAAUAAGGUUGUGGGAAAAGUGGCUUUUAAGACUCGGUUGCAGUAACUCUGUUUGUAGGGAAAUCUGAUUUCAGAUCAUAGUUUGAACUGCACAGGCCUUUUUUUGGUAUCGGGGAUUGAACUUGGACCUUGCACUUGGGAAGCAGAUGUGGAGCCACUGAGCUAAAUCCUUGGCCCUACACAGGCCUUUUGAUCCUGCAUCAUUGUGCCUUGGGCCUUCAUUUUUAGAAACUAAGUUUUCUUUCAGCUGUGAAAAGCUAGAAACUAUCUUGUCUCAAUGUUCAUCAGUAGAUUUGAUAAAAGAAUGUGUUGGACAUCCCUAUAAUGGGUCCCAAGGAGCCACUGAAAAUGAGGCAGAAUUUCCAACAGUCCUAUCUAUUGUAAGUGUCCUCCUUGUUCUUUACCAAUCUUGGGAUUUUGCUUGGCUUCCUCUUUAAUUGAGAAACAUUUUCCCCUGGAUUCAUUAAGGUGCAAACUUAGUGAAAAUGAUGGACAUUUGGAGAUUUUACUUAUUUAUUUUUACUAGCUAAUGAUUUUACAGGUAUUACACUUAACACUAUAGUAAUAAAGACUUCACACAAAUCCAUGCUUCAUAGCCAUGGACUUAAGCUCGUGAGUGUAUGUGUUGUGUGUGCAUGCAUAUGUGCAUCAGCAUGCUUGUGUACCCGUGUGUGUCUGUGUGUGCACAUGUGCACAUGUGUCUGGUUGUUUGUGUGUGAUCCUGGAGUGCCAGCAUCCAGCUGAGUAUGCAGCCAGCUGGAGGACUUGCUCUGGUUCUCUUUUAAGACAGUCUCAGGGG